GAAGAACACCAGUGGCGAAGGCGGCUCACUGGACUGAUACUGACGCUGAGGUGCGAAAGUGUGGGGAGCAAACAGGAUUAGAUACCCUGGUAGUCCACGCCGUAAACGAUGUCAACUAGCCGUUGGAAGCCUUGAGCUUUUAGUGGCGCAGCUAACGCAUUAAGUUGACCGCCUGGGGAGUACGGCCGCAAGGUUAAAACUCAAAUGAAUUGACGGGGGCCCGCACAAGCGGUGGAGCAUGUGGUUUAAUUCGACGCAACGCGAAGAACCUUACCUGGCCUUGACAUGCAGAGAACUUUCCAGAGAUGGAUUGGUGCCUUCGGGAACUCUGACACAGGUGCUGCAUGGCCGUCGUCAGCUCGUGUCGUGAGAUGGUGGGUUAAGUCCCGCAACGAGCG
RNAcentral lists this ribosomal RNA (398 nucleotides) under Chloropicon mariensis. RNAcentral's name for it is "partial Bacterial small subunit ribosomal RNA". It matches the Rfam family "Bacterial small subunit ribosomal RNA", at positions 701 to 1098 of the family's 1533-position model. Lineage: Eukaryota; Viridiplantae; Chlorophyta; Chloropicophyceae; Chloropicales; Chloropicaceae. The record is from RNAcentral.